UUAAGCAUAUCAAUAAGCGGAGGAAAAGAAACUAACAAGGAUUCCCCUAGUAACGGCGAGUGAAGCGGGAAGAGCUCAAAUUUGAAAUCUGGUGGCCUCAGGUCAUCCGAGUUGUAAUCUAUAGAAGUGUUUUCCGUGCUGGCUCAUGUACAAGUCCCUUGGAACAGGGCGUCAUAGAGGGUGAGAAUCCCGUCCUUGACAUGAACUACCAGUGCUCUGUGAUACAUUUUCAACGAGUCGAGUUGUUUGGGAAUGCAGCUCAAAAUGGGUGGUAAAUUCCAUCUAAAGCUAAAUAUUGGCGAGAGACCGAUAGCGAACAAGUACCGUGAGGGAAAGAUGAAAAGCACUUUGGAAAGAGAGUUAAACAGUAUGUGAAAUUGUUGAAAGGGAAACGAUUGAAGUCAGUCGUGCUCUUUGGAUUCAGCCGGUUCUGCCGGUGUACUUCCUUUGAGUGGGGUCAACAUCAGUUUUGAUCGCUGGAUAAAGGCUGGAGGAACGUAGUACCCUCGGGUAAACUUAUAGCCUCCUGUCACAUACAGUGGUUGGGACUGAGGAACGCAGCACGCCUUUAUGGCCGGGAUUCGUCCACGUACGUGCUUAGGAUGUUGACAUAAUGGCUUUAAACGACCC
This 630-nucleotide ribosomal RNA is filed under the name Filobasidium floriforme. RNAcentral's name for it is "LSU rRNA". It matches the Rfam family "Eukaryotic large subunit ribosomal RNA", at positions 34 to 650 of the family's 3401-position model. The record is from RNAcentral. Lineage: Eukaryota; Fungi; Basidiomycota; Tremellomycetes; Filobasidiales; Filobasidiaceae.